CAGUCGCCGCGGUAAUACGUAGGUGGCAAGCGUUCUCCGGAAUUAUUGGGCGUAAAGGGCUCGCAGGCGGUUUCUUAAGUCUGAUGUGAAAGCCCCCGGCUCAACCGGGGAGGGUCAUUGGAAACUGGGAAACUUGAGUGCAGAAGAGGAGAGUGGAAUUCCACGUGUAGCGGUGAAAUGCGUAGAGAUGUGGAGGAACACCAGUGGCGAAGGCGACUCUCCGGUCUGUAACUGACGCUGAGGAGCGAAAGCGUGGGGAGCGAACAGGAUUAGAUACCCCUGUAGUCCCUGUCUCUUAUAC
RNAcentral lists this ribosomal RNA (301 nucleotides) under uncultured bacterium. RNAcentral's name for it is "partial 16S ribosomal RNA". It matches the Rfam family "Bacterial small subunit ribosomal RNA", at positions 509 to 807 of the family's 1533-position model. The record is from RNAcentral.